CAACCUUUAUUUUAGCUUUUACUUUAUAGGAAUUUUAUUUUAUUUUCUUUUUUAUUGAUUGAUUAUUGUGACACCUAAACCACAAACAUGUUUAAUCGAUUAGUACUUUACAUAACUUUGAAUAGUCACGACAUUGAGACCCUAAGGAAAUUCGACUCUAGUUAAUGCGCUAACUAAGAUUAUUUUUGGGAACGUAUAAAAAAUGUUCAUUGCCCAUACAAAAUUACAAGCACCAUGGUCUAAGCACAAAAAAGCCAUAAACAGAUAUCAAUAAGCAUUUGCAUGUAUCCAACCCUAUGCUUUUAGAGGAAAAUCAUAGCAACUGCAUCUCAAAUAACCCAACAACUACCAUGGCUAGGUCAGACAAAGAGGCAGAAGGAUUGAAGCACAUCUUCAUGAGUAAAAGGUCUUCAAUCUUUAAUCUCCUACCAAUAAUUUACCAAGUACUCCAAACCUUCUCUUUAUCUUCCUAUAGUUUGGAGAGGAGAAUGAGAGAGGCAAAACGAGCUAAGACUUGACAAGGGUUUCUAAGGCUCUCUUCCUCUUAAAAUAAAAGGGGAAUACACAGAUUUCAACUCAGGCAUGACCAGGACAAAUCAUGUACCCAGGCACGGCUGUGAAAUCAUGCUAAAUGCCAUGGUUUGGUGGCCAUGCUUGCCCCUUGCUCUUGGUUUUCAAAAUAAGAACUUCUG
This 692-nucleotide long non-coding RNA is filed under the name Linum usitatissimum (flax). RNAcentral's name for it is "long non-coding RNA (LUSI_LNC007819)". Lineage: Eukaryota; Viridiplantae; Streptophyta; Magnoliopsida; Malpighiales; Linaceae. The record is from RNAcentral.